AUAUUACUAAUAGAAAACUAGUAUAAUAUCUUAAUCUUCACCCCUUUCCUUUUUAUUUCACAGAAUAUCAUGACCCUAAGGAAGCCUUGCACAUUAGUUCCUCACCUUGUUCAUUCAGCAGGAUGACUGGUUUCAUCUGUAAGAUCUCAUACUGCAUAUCAGAUGUGGGUGAUUCCAGAGGGCCUCUGCACAGGAAACCUUUCCCACCAUGGACCCCAAAGGUUCCUGUCACAGCUGUAGGGAGCGUCUGGGGAUACCUGCUACAUAAAGACACCUGCUCAUUUGCCUAAAAGGACUCCAAGUUGGAAGAAUUAUUCAAAAUUAACUCCGGUGUUAAUGCAUGUUGAAAGAGGACUAACAUAUACAUGUCAGCUUGUCUCAGAGUUCAGCUGAGCUAAAUUAAGAAAAUAAUUAACUGGUUAAAUUAUAUUUGACAUGUUCAGAAACUGAAGAGUUUUCUAUUUAGGCUUUAAAAUGCCCUUGAAUAGGACCCUAUGAAUAGUCAGGAUUUUGCACAUAGUCUCCAACAUGUAUGAUGGUUUAAAUGAAUUACAGGGCACAUAAAAUGCCUCAUUUAAUUUGAUUAGAGGAUUUAGUAAACAACAAAUGAAGUACUUGUUGUUAUGCAGUGGCUCCUUAGAAUAAUGCUGUACUACAUAAUAAAAAUAUUCCUUGUUAUUUUUAUGGACCAUAGGGCACUUUCAGUAAACUAUGAAUAGGAAGAUAGUCAACCAGUUGAAAAUUCUUUUACAAGAUGAAUUGUAUGUACUUGUAGUCAGCAAUAUAGACCUGAAAAAUCAUUUUUAUAGGAGUGAAAUUUUGUCAUAUCAUCAUAUAGCUCAUUUUCCAAUAUGUUAAAAUAAUAUAGGCUCUGGGUAUUAUCCCAAAUUUACUAUUUAUGUUUAUCAUCUUACCC
This 916-nucleotide long non-coding RNA is filed under the name Mustela putorius furo (domestic ferret). RNAcentral describes it as "lncRNA (ENSMPUG00000029997.1)". The record is from RNAcentral. Lineage: Eukaryota; Metazoa; Chordata; Mammalia; Carnivora; Mustelidae.